This 707-nucleotide ribosomal RNA is filed under the name uncultured Gammaproteobacteria bacterium. RNAcentral describes it as "bacterial SSU rRNA". It matches the Rfam family "Bacterial small subunit ribosomal RNA", at positions 56 to 759 of the family's 1533-position model. The record is from RNAcentral. Lineage: Bacteria; Pseudomonadati; Pseudomonadota; Gammaproteobacteria.
UGCAAGUCGAGCGGUAACAGGUGUAGCAAUACAUGCUGACGAGCGGCGAACGGGUGAGUAAUGCUUCGGAAUCUACCCAGUAGUGGGGAAUAACUAAUCGAAAGGUUAGCUAAUACCGCAUACGUCCUACGGGAGAAAGCGGGGGUCGCAAGACCUCGCGCUAUUGGAUGAGCCGAAGUCGGAUUAGCUAGUUGGUGAGGUAACGGCUCACCAAGGCGACGAUCCGUAGCUGGUCUGAGAGGACGACCAGCCACACUGGAACUGAGACACGGUCCAGACUCCUACGGGGGCAGCAGUGGGGAAUAUUGGACAAUGGGGGAAACCCUGAUCCAGCGACGCCGCGUGCGUGAAGAAGGCCUGCGGGUUGUAAAGCACUUUUAGUGGGGAUGAAAAGUUCAGGGCUAAUAUCCUUGGGCAUUGACCUAACCCACAGAAAAAGCACCGGCUAACUCUGUGCCAGCAGCCGCGGUAAUACAGAGGGUGCAAGCGUUAAUCGGAAUUACUGGGCGUAAAGCGUGCGUAGACGGUUCCGUAAGUCGGGUGUGAAAGCCCCGGGCUCAACCUGGGAAUUGCAUUCGAGACCGCGAAGCUAGGGAACGGAAGAGGGAAGCGGAAUUUCUGGUGUAGCGGUGAAAUGCGUAGAUAUCAGAANNACAUCAGUGGCGAAAGCGGCUUCCUGGUCCAGUUCCNACGUUCAAGCACGAAAG